UAAGAUGUCAAAAUGCUGGUCCACAC
This 26-nucleotide non-coding RNA is filed under the name Homo sapiens (human). Lineage: Eukaryota; Metazoa; Chordata; Mammalia; Primates; Hominidae. The record is from RNAcentral.